RNAcentral lists this long non-coding RNA (2173 nucleotides) under Rattus norvegicus (Norway rat). Its description in RNAcentral is "long non-coding RNA NONRATT008764". The record is from RNAcentral. Lineage: Eukaryota; Metazoa; Chordata; Mammalia; Rodentia; Muridae.
CAAGAAGCAAGGGAAGGUUUAAUGGUUUUUGAAGAGUGGGCCGAGAACAAACUCAGUUGACAAAGAGGAUUAAUUUCCAUUUCUCAAAUGAUGUGUUUAUGAUAACUUACAGAUUCAAUCCAUUUGCAAUUGGGAGAUGUGUGGCAUGCUCUCAUCAAAGCUGUUCAAAGAACAGCCAUGGGCUACUGACAAAAGAAAAUAUCUUACACUGAAGUGCACGCAAACUGAUCAUGUGAGCCUAGGUGCACAUCACUGAACCUAGAGAGCUUGACAGUGAAAUAACCAAACAAGCUCUCCAUUAAGAGCCAGCUCAUAUAGUUUUUGCUUUCUCCAUGGCUGUUAGUAUUGUGCCAGUCAUCUGAUGGGUAGUUAAUGAUCAUACACGGAUUGCCUAUCCUUGACUUCUGGUCAUGAUGUAUGGGGGGAAACAUGUAACAGGCAUGAAGUGCACUGAAACUUGACAGAAAAAUUCUAAGCAGGACAUACAGCUCUUUUAAAUCUGUCAGUCGGCACUCUGCCAGCAAUUGGGGAAUAGGGGGAUUAUAUUGGCAUAACGGGCAGUGUCUGAUGUCUGCCUGGCAUGGGAGCCUUCUUAAUAAAUGAGGUAUUUUGACCAGCAGCCAAUAAGAAGGAACAGACUGGGUGUCAGAUGCUUCGCAGGCAGGAGACCAUUUAGUUCAAUUCCAGUGAAACUGAUGCAGAAUUCCAGUACAGAGGACUUUCCCACCCAAAGAGGACACACACCCGAGACUCUCAGGCCCCAUUUCCUCCUGGGCAAACUUAACAGGGCAACCCUUUUACACUCAGAGUUGAAUUACUCUGUAUGUCAUUAGCACCUCCAACACUGUGUUGUUCUCUUCUCUUGGAAAUAUUUUUCAUACUAACUAAGAUAGCAUUUGAUUGGGACAUUGACCUGCUUGUGCUACCCAAGCUAUUUCCCAAGGCCAAUCCUUUUUUCCCCCUGUCAACUCAUACCCAAGCUGUACUUUCUCCAAGUUCUCAUAUGGACAGCAUAUUCUAUGGAAUAAGGAUUAUGGAAUGGGUUAGGGUUAAGGUUGGCUUUGUAGUAUGCUGUAGAAGGUAUACCAGAUAGCUCCUUGUUUUGCCUUAGUACAGCAAUUACAUUCAUGUCAUUAUGUGGCAUGAUGGAGUGAUAGUGUUGGUGACCCUUCUGAUUGCAGGUGUGCCCGAAGAGAGUACUGUACCGGAGACCUUUCCUGGAGGCACCCCCAUCCUUGCACGCAACAGCACUGCUCCCUCACCUACACACACUUCCAAUGUCAGCACCACAGAUAUCUCCUCAGGUGUGACCAUUAUGUGCCAUGUGUUUUAGGCUACGGAAGCUCCAAACUUGAAUGACACUUCUUUUACUCCAGAUAAUAUUUUCAAAUUUCCCAUUGUUUUUGUUUUUAAAUCUUGAGAAGAAAUUAGGCAAAAGGAACUUAAGAGAAAAUUGUUCGGGGGAAGGUAUACAUGUAACUUUACUAUUAUUUUUGUAAAGUUCAUGACACUGAGGUUGAUAAUAUUCAUUAACAACUUGUAGCUUUAGGAUUAAUCCAACUAUAUGAAUUUUUCUAGAAAAUCUAGAACAAUGGGUUCAGUCCUCAGCUCUGAAAAAAAAGAAAAAAGAAAAAAAAAGAAGAAAAUCUAGAACAAGUAACUCAGUUUCCCUUUUGUGAAAGCGGCCCCUAUAAUACUCAUUUCAUAAAACUGAUAUGAAGACUGUACAUGGAAAGGUUUGACAUAACAGAUGUAAGAAAAGAGUUAGACCAUUGGCCUAAUUCAUAUCUAAAAUAAGAAGAGUUGUAAUUCAACAGAAAAGACUAGUGUGAGGCAAAUUCUUUUUCAGGUAAGAAUUAUACUAAGGAGUGAAAAACUUCCCCUUUACACUGUGACUAAAUAUUUAAAAUUACUUGAAAUGUGUGUUAUGUGAAUGGAUUUGCACAUAAGUCUUAGACUCACUUUGUUAUCUUGGAAACUUAUCAAUUCAAGUGAUCAAUUCAAAAGAAUCUCUUAGCAAAUUAUCUUGGGUAAAAUUUUUUUCUCAAGCUUCUAGAUAAUAAACUCAUUAACUUUUACCCUUUUGUUCAUUUCCUUGCAGGUGCCAACCUCACAACCCCUGCACCAUCCACUCUGGGCUUUGCAAGCAAUACCACCACAAGCACAGAAAUAG